RNAcentral lists this ribosomal RNA (468 nucleotides) under uncultured bacterium. Its description in RNAcentral is "partial 16S ribosomal RNA". It matches the Rfam family "Bacterial small subunit ribosomal RNA", at positions 28 to 507 of the family's 1533-position model. The record is from RNAcentral.
GACGAACGCUGGCGGCGUGCUUAACACAUGCAAGUCGAACGGAAAGGCCCUGCUUUUGUGGGGUGCUCGAGUGGCGAACGGGUGAGUAACACGUGAGUAACCUGCCCUUGACUUUGGGAUAACUUCAGGAAACUGGGGCUAAUACCGGAUAGGAGCUCCUGCUGCAUGGUGGGAGUUGGAAAGUUUCGGCGGUUGGGGAUGGACUCGCGGCUUAUCAGCUUGUUGGUGGGGUAGUGGCUUACCAAGGCUUUGACGGGUAGCCGGCCUGAGAGGGUGACCGGCCACAUUGGGACUGAGAUACGGCCCAGACUCCUACGGGAGGCAGCAGUGGGGAAUAUUGCACAAUGGGCGGAGGCCUGAUGCAGCAACGCCGCGUGCGGGAUGACGGCCUUCUGGUUGUAAACCGCUUUCGCCUGUGACGAAGCGUGAGUGACGGUAAUGGGUAAAGAAGCGCCGGCUAACUACGUG